UCUUUACUGAUAUGGAUGCCCUUUGUUUUUUUCUCUUGUCUGAUUGCUCUGGCUAGGACUUCCAGUACUAUGUUGAAUAGAAGUGAAAGUGAGCAUCCUUGUCUUGUUCCAGUUCUCAGAGGCAAUCCUUUCAGCUUUCCUCAUUCAACAUAAUGUUGGCUGUGGCUUUGUUCAUAGAUC
Molecule: long non-coding RNA, 180 nt
Organism: Cebus imitator (Panamanian white-faced capuchin)
Lineage: Eukaryota; Metazoa; Chordata; Mammalia; Primates; Cebidae
Exons: 3
Source: RefSeq, a predicted model, not a curated record